AAAUUGAAGAGUUUGAUCAUGGCUCAGAUUGAACGCUGGCGGCAGGCCUAACACAUGCAAGUCGAACGGUAGCACAGAGAGCUUGCUCUCGGGUGACGAGUGGCGGACGGGUGAGUAAUGUCUGGGAAACUGCCUGAUGGAGGGGGAUAACUACUGGAAACGGUAGCUAAUACCGCAUAACGUCGCAAGACCAAAGAGGGGGACCUUCGGGCCUCUUGCCAUCAGAUGUGCCCAGAUGGGAUUAGCUAGUAGGUGGGGUAACGGCUCACCUAGGCGACGAUCCCUAGCUGGUCUGAGAGGAUGACCAGCCACACUGGAACUGAGACACGGUCCAGACUCCUACGGGAGGCAGCAGUGGGGAAUAUUGCACAAUGGGCGCAAGCCUGAUGCAGCCAUGCCGCGUGUAUGAAGAAGGCCUUCGGGUUGUAAAGUACUUUCAGCGGGGAGGAAGGUGUUGNGGUUAAUAACCGCAGCAAUUGACGUUACCCGCAGAAGAAGCACCGGCUAACUCCGUGCCAGCAGCCGCGGUAAUACGGAGGGUGCAAGCGUUAAUCGGAAUUACUGGGCGUAAAGCGCACGCAGGCGGUCUGUCAAGUCGGAUGUGAAAUCCCCGGGCUCAACCUGGGAACUGCAUUCGAAACUGGCAGGCUAGAGUCUUGUAGAGGGGGGUAGAAUUCCAGGUGUAGCGGUGAAAUGCGUAGAGAUCUGGAGGAAUACCGGUGGCGAAGGCGGCCCCCUGGACAAAGACUGACGCUCAGGUGCGAAAGCGUGGGGAGCAAACAGGAUUAGAUACCCUGGUAGUCCACGCCGUAAACGAUGUCGACUUGGAGGUUGUGCCCUUGAGGCGUGGCUUCCGGAGCUAACGCGUUAAGUCGACCGCCUGGGGAGUACGGCCGCAAGGUUAAAACUCAAAUGAAUUGACGGGGGCCCGCACAAGCGGUGGAGCAUGUGGUUUAAUUCGAUGCAACGCGAAGAACCUUACCUACUCUUGACAUCCAGAGAACUUUCCAGAGAUGGAUUGGUGCCUUCGGGAACUCUGAGACAGGUGCUGCAUGGCUGUCGUCAGCUCGUGUUGUGAAAUGUUGGGUUAAGUCCCGCAACGAGCGCAACCCUUAUCCUUUGUUGCCAGCGGUCCGGCCGGGAACUCAAAGGAGACUGCCAGUGAUAAACUGGAGGAAGGUGGGGAUGACGUCAAGUCAUCAUGGCCCUUACGAGUAGGGCUACACACGUGCUACAAUGGCGCAUACAAAGAGAAGCGAACUCGCGAGAGCAAGCGGACCUCAUAAAGUGCGUCGUAGUCCGGAUUGGAGUCUGCAACUCGACUCCAUGAAGUCGGAAUCGCUAGUAAUCGUAGAUCAGAAUGCUACGGUGAAUACGUUCCCGGGCCUUGUACACACCGCCCGUCACACCAUGGGAGUGGGUUGCAAAAGAAGUAGGUAGCUUAACCUUCGGGAGGGCGCUUACCACUUUGUGAUUCAUGACUGGGGUGAAGUCGUAACAAGGUAACCGUAGGGGAACCUGCGGUUGGAUCACCUCCUUACCUUAAAGAA
Molecule: ribosomal RNA, 1550 nt
Filed under: Enterobacter ludwigii
Lineage: Bacteria; Pseudomonadati; Pseudomonadota; Gammaproteobacteria; Enterobacterales; Enterobacteriaceae
Description: bacterial SSU rRNA
Rfam family: Bacterial small subunit ribosomal RNA
Source: RNAcentral